RNAcentral lists this ribosomal RNA (777 nucleotides) under uncultured Gammaproteobacteria bacterium. Its description in RNAcentral is "bacterial SSU rRNA". It matches the Rfam family "Bacterial small subunit ribosomal RNA", at positions 94 to 866 of the family's 1533-position model. The record is from RNAcentral. Lineage: Bacteria; Pseudomonadati; Pseudomonadota; Gammaproteobacteria.
AGCGGCGGACGGGUGAGUAACGCGUAGGAAUCUACCUAGUAGAAGGGGAUAGCCCGGGGAAACUCGGAUUAAUACCGUAUACCUCCUUAGGGAGAAAGAAGGCCUCUCAUUGAAGCUUUCGCUAUUAGAUGAGCCUGCGUAAGAUUAGCUUGUUGGUGAGGUAAAGGCUCACCAAGGCGACGAUCUUUAGCGGGUCUGAGAGGACGAUCCGCCACAUUGGGACUGAGACACGGCCCAGACUCCUACGGGAGGCAGCAGUGGGGAAUAUUGGACAAUGGGCGCAAGCCUGAUCCAGCCAUACCGCGUGUGUGAAGAAGGCCCUAGGGUUGUAAAGCACUUUAAGUUGGGAAGAAAAGUUAUUGGUUAAUACCCAAUAGCCGUGACAUUACCAUCAGAAUAAGGACCGGCUAAUUCCGUGCCAGCAGCCGCGGUAAUACGGAAGGUCCAAGCGUUAAUCGGAAUUACUGGGCGUAAAGCGCGCGUAGGUGGUUUAUUAAGUUGGAUGUGAAAUCCCCGGGCUCAACCUGGGAACUGCAUCCAAAACUGAUUCACUAGAGUACGAUAGAGGGAGGUAGAAUUCACAGUGUAGCGGUGGAAUGCGUAGAUAUUGUGAAGAAUACCAAUGGCGAAGGCAGCCUCCUGGAUCUGUACUGACACUGAGGUGCGAAAGCGUGGGUAGCGAACAGGAUUAGAUACCCUGGUAGUCCACGCCGUAAACGAUGUCAACUAGCUGUUGGGGAACUAUGUUCUUCAGUGGCGCAGCUAACGUAGUAAGUG